RNAcentral lists this ribosomal RNA (253 nucleotides) under uncultured bacterium. RNAcentral's name for it is "partial 16S ribosomal RNA". It matches the Rfam family "Bacterial small subunit ribosomal RNA", at positions 524 to 776 of the family's 1533-position model. The record is from RNAcentral.
UACAGAGGUCUCAAGCGUUGUUCGGAUUCAUUGGGCGUAAAGGGCGCGUAGGCGGCGCGGCAAGUCGGGUGUGAAAUCUCGGAGCUUAACUCCGAAACUGCAUUCGAUACUGCCGUGCUUGAGGACUGGAGAGGAGACUGGAAUUUACGAUGUAGCGGUGAAAUGCGUAGAUAUCGUAAGGAAGACCAGUGGCGAAGGCGGGUCUCUGGACAGUUCCUGACGCUGAGGCACGAAAGCUAGGGGAGCAAACAGG